AUUGAACGCUGGCGGCAUGCCUUACACAUGCAAGUCGAACGGUAACAGGUCUUCGGAUGCUGACGAGUGGCGAACGGGUGAGUAAUACAUCGGAACGUGCCCGAUCGUGGGGGAUAACGAAGCGAAAGCUUUGCUAAUACCGCAUACGAUCUACGGAUGACAGCGGGGGAUCUUCGGACCUCGCGCGGCCGGAGCGGCCGAUGGCAGAUUAGGUAGUUGGUGGGAUAAAAGCUUACCAAGCCGACGAUCUGUAGCUGGUCUGAGAGGAUGAUCAGCCACACUGGGACUGAGACACGGCCCAGACUCCUACGGGAGGCAGCAGUGGGGAAUUUUGGACAAAGGGCGCAAGCCUGAUCCAGCCAUGCCGCGUGCAGGAUGAAGGCCUUCGGGUUGUAAACUGCUUUUGUACGGAACGAAAAGGUGCCUUCUAAUAAAGGGCGCUCAUGACGGUACCGUAAGAAUAAGCACCGGCUAACUACGUG
RNAcentral lists this ribosomal RNA (482 nucleotides) under uncultured bacterium. Its description in RNAcentral is "partial 16S ribosomal RNA". It matches the Rfam family "Bacterial small subunit ribosomal RNA", at positions 30 to 507 of the family's 1533-position model. The record is from RNAcentral.